GACGAACGCUGGCGGCGUGCCUAAUACAUGCAAGUCGAGCGGACGGAUGGGAGCUUGCUCCCAGACCGUCAGCGGCGGACGGGUGAGUAACACGUGGGCAACCUGCCUGUAAGACUGGGAUAACUCCGGGAAACCGGGGCUAAUACCGGAUAACUCUUUCCCUCACAUGAGGGAAAGCUGAAAGAUGGCAUCGCGCUAUCACUUACAGAUGGGCCCGCGGCGCAUUAGCUAGUUGGUGAGGUAACGGCUCACCAAGGCGACGAUGCGUAGCCGACCUGAGAGGGUGAUCGGCCACACUGGGACUGAGACACGGCCCAGACUCCUACGGGAGGCAGCAGUAGGGAAUCUUCCGCAAUGGACGAAAGUCUGACGGAGCAACGCCGCGUGAGUGAUGAAGGUUUUCGGAUCGUAAAACUCUGUUGUCAGGGAAGAACAAGUACCGGAGUAACUGCCGGUACCUUGACGGUACCUGACCAGAAAGCCACGGCUAACUACGUG
This 498-nucleotide ribosomal RNA is filed under the name uncultured bacterium. Its description in RNAcentral is "partial 16S ribosomal RNA". It matches the Rfam family "Bacterial small subunit ribosomal RNA", at positions 28 to 507 of the family's 1533-position model. The record is from RNAcentral.